Molecule: ribosomal RNA, 253 nt
Filed under: uncultured Eubacteriales bacterium
Lineage: Bacteria; Bacillati; Bacillota; Clostridia; Eubacteriales
Description: uncultured Clostridiales bacterium partial 16S ribosomal RNA
Rfam family: Bacterial small subunit ribosomal RNA
Source: RNAcentral
UACGUAGGGGGCAAGCGUUAUCCGGAUUUACUGGGUGUAAAGGGAGCGUAGGCGGCUUAGUAAGUCAGAAGUGAAAGCCCGCAGCUCAACUGCGGGACUGCUUUUGAAACUGCCAGGCUAGAGUGUCGGAGAGGUAAGUGGAAUUCCUAGUGUAGCGGUGAAAUGCGUAGAUAUUAGAAGGAACACCAGUGGCGAAGGCGACUUGCUGGGCCAAAACUGACGCUGAGACACGAAAGCGUGGGGAGCAAAUAGG